GCCAGAAACACUCAGGAAACGCGUGACACGGAACCGAAACGCGCGAGCCCGUGAAUGGAGCGUGUUAACCGGAUGUUCAUCUCAGCUCUCCUAGUCCUCUGCUUGAUGUGGGUGGUUCAUGCCACCCUGUUAGGAGCCCUGCCCACUAGCCAAUCAGGGGUAUUAGAUUUUCAGCGGAAAAGUAGGUUUAAUAAAUACUGCUCCUCAUCUGCAGAACAAAAGCUUUUUUUUUUUGUUAUGUUUGUUUAAUCUUAAUGCACUUCAGUAUGCCAUGAUGCUGUAACUAUAGUGUGUGAUAUUUGUGAUGAAUCCCACCACCUGCUGCGCUACACACAUGAUGUGAUCUAGAUGAUUUGUGGAACGUUGUGUACUAGCUGACACAUGAUCUUUUCAGUAUCAGGAACACGCAUCGGAAGUGGAAUAAACAGCCACGUGCAAUAUACCGUGGUGUGCAAUGCACUUAGUGCAAAGCCUGAGAGAAAUCAAGUGGAUGUGUGUGUUUGCAGAUGGGGGCAGACUAAAAUGAGGUGCCCUAAAGUGACUUGCGUGACGUAUGGGACUUCAAGAUCCCGAUGGCCUGUGGCUAGAACCUCCUUCUGAGCCUUUCUGUUUUAGCCAUGUGGCUGCAGAAGCAUUUGCCUGACCUCAGCAGCCUGAACAGACCGUGCCUGGGGUAGGAAGCGUCCUUGAUCAUUUUCUGAGCUCAGAAAAGCAAUUUGAAAGCAAGGCAACAGUUUUACCGCCUCAGACAAUUCUGGAGGUUCGAGGUAUCUACUCCAAUUCAAAGGAUGUUCUAGACGUUUGUAUGGUAACUGCGCCAUCCAAGACUACAACACCCUGCAGAGGGUGGUACGUUAAGCAGAACUUCAACCAAAUUUUCUCG
Long non-coding RNA from Ictalurus punctatus (channel catfish), 883 nucleotides. The record is from Ensembl. Lineage: Eukaryota; Metazoa; Chordata; Actinopteri; Siluriformes; Ictaluridae.